RNAcentral lists this non-coding RNA (21 nucleotides) under Arabidopsis thaliana (thale cress). Lineage: Eukaryota; Viridiplantae; Streptophyta; Magnoliopsida; Brassicales; Brassicaceae. The record is from RNAcentral.
UUGCUGAGAAAUGGUGUCCAG